Molecule: ribosomal RNA, 274 nt
Filed under: uncultured bacterium
Lineage: Bacteria
Description: partial 16S ribosomal RNA
Rfam family: Bacterial small subunit ribosomal RNA
Source: RNAcentral
AUACGGAGGGUGCAAGCGUUGUUCGGAAUCACUGGGCGUAAAGGGCGCGCAGGCGGUUUGGUAAGUCAGAUGUGAAAGCCCAUGGCUCAACCAUGGAAGUGCAUUUGAAACUGUCAGACUUGAGUACUAGAGGGGAAAGUGGAAUUCCCGGUGUAGAGGUGAAAUUCGUAGAUAUCGGGAGGAAUACCGGUGGCGAAGGCGACUUUCUGGCUAGAUACUGACGCUGAGGAUCGAAAGCGUGGGUAGCAAACAGGAUUAGAAACCCGAGUAGUCC